GUAAUUAUGUGGACAUGACCAGCGUCUAAACUGCUAGCAGCUGAGGGCAAUACAGACACAUGUGAAAUCCCAGCCAAUGACAGAACAGGGAGGAGACAUGACAGAAACAUAAACAAAACACACGUGUCCAGAUGUCACUACUGUCAACAAUGGAAAAGCAGGUGCUCGCGCAUUCGCGCUUAGAGCACGCUGCUUCAAGGGGAAAUCAUGACAAGUAUAAUAUAAUUGGCCCGUCACAUUUCAUCCUUAAAAAAUAACCGGUGUCAGUGUCAGUCCUGACUGGUUCAUCGUGAGAAGAGGAUUCUCCACACCUACACACACAUUAUGAUGACCGUCACUUUUCCUUAUCUCCUCUACUGGAGGGGCUGGAUUUGGAUCUGAACACUCGCAAUCAGCUUGUGCAUCUCACUGCUGACAUCAUUAUGCUACUCGAGGUUCUUCACACCCCGUCUGGAGAUGCGGGGUUCCCCCCACCUCUCAGAUAUAGAAUCCAGUGAAUUCCCA
Ictalurus punctatus (channel catfish) is the source of this 504-nucleotide long non-coding RNA. NCBI's taxonomy places the organism in Eukaryota, Metazoa, Chordata, Actinopteri, Siluriformes, Ictaluridae. The record is from Ensembl.